GUGGGGAAUCUUCCACAAUGGACGAAAGUCUGAUGGAGCAACGCCGCGUGAGUGAAGAAGGGUUUCGGCUCGUAAAGCUCUGUUGUCGGGGACGAAUGUGCAGUAUUUGAAUAAAGUAUUGCAAUGACGGUACCUGACGAGGAAGCCACGGCUAACUACGUGCCAGCAGCCGCGGUAAUACGUAGGUGGCAAGCGUUGUCCGGAAUUAUUGGGCGUAAAGGGAGCGCAGGCGGGAAGGUAAGUCGGUCUUAAAAGUGCGGGGCUCAAACCCGGGAUGGGAUCGAAACUAUCUUUCUUGAGUGCAGGAGAGGAAAGUGGAAUUCCUAGUGUAGCGGUGAAAUGCGUAGAUAUUAGGAGGAACACCAGUGGCGAAGGCGACUUUCUGGACUGUAACUGACGCUGAGGCUCGAAAGCCAGGGGAGCGAACGGGAUUAGAUACCCUUGUAGUCC
This 450-nucleotide ribosomal RNA is filed under the name uncultured bacterium. RNAcentral's name for it is "partial 16S ribosomal RNA". It matches the Rfam family "Bacterial small subunit ribosomal RNA", at positions 354 to 796 of the family's 1533-position model. The record is from RNAcentral.